Melozone crissalis (California towhee) is the source of this 250-nucleotide long non-coding RNA. RefSeq lists it as uncharacterized. The record is from RefSeq and is a predicted model, not a curated record. Lineage: Eukaryota; Metazoa; Chordata; Aves; Passeriformes; Passerellidae. The transcript has 3 exons.
GGCUGCUCCCAGCUCCAGACCAGCCUGGGCACAGCUCCGGAGGACACUUCCCAAAGAAGACAACAGGGGGGUGAGAGAAGCAGAACAGGAAUUGUAAUCCCAGAAUCACAGAACAUUCUGAGUUGAAAGGGACACACAGGAUCAUCCAAGGAAUGUUUGAACAUUUACAGAGACUCCAGAAUUGUAACUUUGGGUGAUCUUCAGGGCCGUGCUGAGGAUCCCCUCUGUACAGGGACGGCACAAAGCCUUU